RNAcentral lists this non-coding RNA (165 nucleotides) under uncultured Clostridium sp. RNAcentral describes it as "Lysine riboswitch". It matches the Rfam family "Lysine riboswitch aptamer". From Rfam's summary of the family: Riboswitches are metabolite binding domains within certain messenger RNAs that serve as precision sensors for their corresponding targets. Lineage: Bacteria; Bacillati; Bacillota; Clostridia; Eubacteriales; Clostridiaceae. The record is from RNAcentral.
GAAAGUAGAGGUUGCGUCAAUCAACAGUAAGCGGGCGGAUGCGGCAGAAGCAGGAGAAGCGUGCUGAAAGGGAACGACGCCGAAGAACUGCGUUUUCUGCAGAGGCAGUUUCUGGGCAUAUGGUGAAGAAUCAUAUGACUGUCAUCAGUUUGAUGGAGAGCUACG